AGUGAACGCUGGCGGUAGGCCUAACACAUGCAAGUCGAACGGCAGCACAGUAAGAGCUUGCUCUUACGGGUGGCGAGUGGCGGACGGGUGAGGAAUACAUCGGAAUCUACUUUUUCGUGGGGGAUAACGUAGGGAAACUUACGCUAAUACCGCAUACGACCUACGGGUGAAAGCAUGGGAUCUUCGGACCUUGCGCGAUUGAAUGAGCCGAUGUCGGAUUAGCUAGUUGGCGGGGUAAAGGCCCACCAAGGCGACGAUCCGUAGCUGGUCUGAGAGGAUGAUCCGCCACACUGGAGCUGAGACACGGUCCGGACUCCUACGGGAGGCAGCAGUGGGGAAUAUUGGACAAUGGGCGCAAGCCUGAUCCAGCCAUACCGCGUGGGUGAAGAAGGCCUUCGGGUUGUAAAGCCCUUUUGUUGGGAAAGAAAAGCAGCAGGUUAAUACGCCGCUGUUCUGACGGUACCCAAAGAAUAAGCACCGGCUAACUUCGUG
Molecule: ribosomal RNA, 492 nt
Filed under: uncultured bacterium
Lineage: Bacteria
Description: partial 16S ribosomal RNA
Rfam family: Bacterial small subunit ribosomal RNA
Source: RNAcentral